AAAGAUAAGAUAAGAACGAAAAGAUUAUAUGCAUCGUAACCGUGUAAUUUCCCUCCCACCGCGUAACCUCAGCGCUAUAUAUACCCACUGACCUCGUGUCAAUCUUCUGUUUGAAUGGGAUUUGAAUUUUAUUGGUAUUGUUUCGAGGAUUGUCGUCUAUGGCUUUGGGGAUUGUGUUUCCAUUCUUGAUCAAGUUUCUUUAGGGUUUUGCGAAGUGUACGGAGUUUACAAUCAAUCAGUGUGUGUUGUGUUGUCGGAUUGAACAACCGCGAGCGUUUUGUUCGAUCAAAUUGUGUUUUGUCGGAUUGAAGAACCGCUAGCAUCCUUGCUUUUUGUGGGAUUGAAGAAUGCAAGAAUUAUCAGUAGAUUUACGCCAAUUCUAAAUAGAAUUUAUUUGAUUAUGUUGAGUUUUGGGUUUUUUGCUUAAUUUCUUUACACCUUUUCAAAUGGUCGCCGCUGGUACUCUGACAUCUUUUAUUUUAUUUUAUUUUUUUUUUGCAUACGAAUGAUAUGAAAAUAAUAGUUGUUCGGAACAACCUAAGUUUUCUCGGCGUCUCCUUUCUAUUAUAUAAGUUUUUUGGUAUUGAUCAUCGAACAUAGGGAUUGAACUAUGAUUUGUUUAUCUGCAGUGGUAUUUGGAAUAGUUUUGUAACCUCCUGAAUUGAGAGCGUUUAUCGUGUUCUUGUUCUUGAAUUUGCGGAACAAUGAAGAUACGGUAUGGAUGUGGUAUAGGAGAUCAGGUGAAGUGUUAGGUUUUGUUACCAUUAUGUUUUCUUAAGACGAUCUGAUUGGAGCCUAUCAAAUUUGUUGUUUGUGUUCAUUCCUAUGCAGCAUGUCCUCGAGUCUGAGAUUUAUUUUGGCCAUUGAGAAGGUAGAAACGAGUUUCGAUGGCUGGCUUUCGAUGUACCGAAUUACUUUGAUCUUCUUAGAUGUAGGAAGGUACAUGCGUUAGCCAUGGGGAUUGUUUUCUUCUACUCAUGUUUCAGCUAAGAGAGGCAAUAACUCUAGAUUAUUAAACUUAUUGCAAAGCUUUAUGUUUUAUUAUGUUUCAAUUUACUAAUUUUCUUGAGAAUGGCUAUGGUCUCUCUUGUUCGUCGUAGGAAUGUACAUGAAUCAGCCAUUGUCCUACAUGAAUCAGCCAUUGUGUUUGUCUAAUAAGCAAUAGCAAUACUUGGUCUCUGAAAUUAUGAUCAUUGAGUUUGUUAUGGAAAUUUCUCCAUCGGUGUUUAUUGAAUUUGUUUAUUCAUGGUAUUGUCUAGGUCUUUUAUCUUCUUCCGAGAUUAAUUAUUUUUUUAUUCAUGGGUUGUAUUUCUAUAUGCAUUCAGUUGGAGGUCUUGUAAAUUCUCACUAUAUGAGUUAGAGGCUUUGACAUUUGCGGUUUUAGACGGUUGACUCUGUUCAUUUUGAUUAUCUUCAGUUAAGAGGAUGUCUAUUGGGUUGUGGAUGCAAUAUUGUUGACUCUGUUCAUUUUGAUUAUCUUUUCAUUUUGAUUAUCUUCAGUUAAGAGGAUGUCUAUUGGGUUAUGGAUGCAAUAGCUGAAUAUUAUUGAACUUAUCGUAUAGGUCCUUCAUCUUUUACCAGACUAAUUAUACUUUUCUUAAAUUCAUGGGUUGUACAAGGAAACUACAAAAUGAAGGGGAUGCAUAGUCUGCAAAUGAUGGUGGUCAUGUUUUGGGAACAAUGGAUGGAGAUCCCGUGAGAGGCCAAACUUGUGGAGUGGGAGAUCUUGUAAAUACACACUAUAUGAGUGAGAAAGUUUGGCAUUUGUGUUGUUGGGGUCGACUCUUCAUUUUGAUUAUCUUCUUCUACUAGUGUUGUAGUGAAGAUGAUGUCUAUUUGAUCGUGGAGGCAAUAGCUGUAGUUUAUUGAACUUACUACAUAUCUUUAUUUUUUUUUUUCACGUUUUGAUUUACUUUCUUUCUUAUGUGCUUCAGUUGGAAUGGUUGUAGUUUCUCUUAUUGGAAUCGUUGUAGUUUCUCUUAUUGACUGCAGGAUUGUACAUGUGUCAGCGAUGGUCUUUCUUUAAGCAAGAGCAAUGCUUGAUCAUUGGACAUUAUGAUCGUCGAGCUGGUUGUGGAAAUUUUUCCAUUGGUUUUCUUUAAUUAUUAAAUUUGUUUGUUCAUCCUAUUGUCUAGGUCUUUCAUCUUCUACCCAGUUUGAUUAUAAUUUUCUUGAAUUCAUGGACUUCAUAGGGAAACUAAGAAACGAAGUGGGGUGUAGAAUGUGCAAGUGGUGGUCGGCACAUUUCAGAAGCAGUGGAUGGAGAAACGAAAUGGGUGCAGAGUGUGCAAAUGGUGGGUGGUGGGCAGUUUUCAGAAACAGUGGAUGGAGAUCUGGUGAAACUUUAGGUUUUAUUAUCUUUGUAUUCAGUAUUUUCGAUGCCGUUAUUCUUCAGAUAAACUUGUGGAGUGGGUGAUCUAUUAAAUUAGCAUUAUAUGGGUGGGAGGCUUUGGCAUGUGUUGUUGGAACAUUAACUCUGUUGAUUUUCAUUAUCUUCUUCUACUCGUGUUGCAGUGAAGAGGAUAUCUAUUGAAUUGUGGAGCCAAUGGAGCCAAUAGCUGUAGAUUAUUGAACUUACUACAAAGCUUUAUGUUUUGUUACGUUUCCAUUUACUGUCUUUCUUAUGCGCUCAAGUUGGAAUGGCUGUAGUCUCUUUUAUUGGUUGUAGGAAGGUACAUAUUGUCUUUAUCUAAGCAAGAGCAAUACUUCAAUCUUUGAACAUUGUGAUCAUUGUUAAUGGGAAUUUCUCAAUUAGUUUUUUAAUUCUUGAAUUUGUUUAUUUAUUGUCUAGGUCCUUCAUCUUCCACCCAAAUACAGCCAAUAGCUGUAGAUUAUUGAACUUACUACAAAGCUUUAUGUUUUGUUACGUUUCCAUUUACUGUCUUUCUUAUGCUGUUUUUCUUAUGCGCUCAACUUGGAAUGGCUUUCUUAUGCUGUUUUUCUUAUGCGCUCAACUUGGAAUGGCUUUCUUAUGCUGUUUUUCUUAUGCGCUCAACUUGGAAUGGCUGUAGUCUCUUUUAUUGGUUGUAGGAAGGUACAUAUUGUCUUUAUCUAAGCAAGAGCAAUACUUCAAUCUUUGAACAUUGUGAUCAUUGUUAAUGGGAAUUUCUCAAUUAGUUUUUUAAUUCUUGAAUUUGUUUAUUUAUUUUCUAGGUCCUUCAUCUUCCACCCAAAUUGAUUAUAUUUUUCUUGAAUACAUGGAGUUUUCAGGGAAACUAUGAAAUGAAGUGGGUUCAAGGUUUGCAAAUAGAGGAUGGUUGGCAGGGUUUGGAAAUAGUGGAUGGAGAUCCGGUAGAUCCGGUGAAACCUUAGCAAUGAGGAUGUCUGUUUUAUCGUGGAGACGGCAAAUUAUUCAACUUACUACAAAGCUUCAUGUUCUUUUACGUUUCCAUUAUUCCUAUGUGCUCUAGUUUAAAUGGCGUGGUAGUCUCUCUUAUUGUUUCUAGGAAGGGAAACUAAGAAAUGAAGUGGGUGCAGGGUGUGCCAAUGGUGGGUGGUGGGCGGCUUUUGGAAACAGUGGAUGGGGAUAUGGCCAAACCUUAGGGAAAAACUAAGAAAUGAUGUGGGUGCUAGGUGCGCAAAUAUAGAGGGUGGUUGGCAAAUAUUUGGAAACAGUGGAUGGACAUCCGGUGAAACCUUAGGUUUUAUUAUCUUUCUUUCCAUUCGUUAUUUUCUUUGUCGUUGUUCUUAAUGUUCUUCAUGCUAAACUUGUGGAGUGAGAUAUCUUAUAAAUAGGAUUACAUGAGUGAAAGGCUUUGACAUGUGUCUUGUUUGAUUGCUGACUCUGUUUAUGUUGAUCGUCUUCUUCUAGUCGUGUUGCAGCAAUGAGGAUGUCUGUUGGAUCGUGGUGGCAAAAACUGUAAAUUGUUGAACUUACUACAAAGUUUCAUGUUUUAUUAUGUUUUCAUUUUUUAUUUUUCUUGUGUGUUCGUGUUUGAAUGGUUUUAGUCUUUCUUAUUGGUUGAAGGUACAUGUGUCAACCAUGUUGUUUGUCUAAGCAAGUACAAUACUUGAUUGCAGAACAUUGAUGAUCAAGCUCGUGUUGAAAAUUUCUCCAUCGUUUUUUUUUAAUUCUAGAAUUUUUUAUUCAUCUUAUCUGUCCAUGUCCUUCCUCUUCUACCAGAUUGAUUAUAGUUUUCUUAAAUUCAUAGGCUUUAUAGGGAAACUAAGAAAUGAGGUGGGUGCAGGAUGUUCAAAUGGUGGGGUGCUGUGCAGAUUUUGGAAAUAGUGGAUGGGGAUUCGGUGAAACCUUAAGGAAUACAUGUGUCAGCCAUGGCGCUUGUCUAAGCAAAGCAGUUCUUGAUCUUUGAACAUUGUGAUCAUCGAGUAAUUCUUGAAUUUGUUUUUUCAUCUUACCGUCCUUCAUCUUCCUACCCAGAUUGAUUGUAGUUUUCUUGAAUUCAUGGGUUAGUCAGGGAAACUAAGAAAUGAUGUCGGUGCAAGGUGUGCAAAUAGAGGGUGGUUGGCAAGUUUUGAGAUCCGGUGAAACCUUAGGUAUGUGUCAGCCAUGUGUGUGUCUAUGCUAGUGCAAUACUUGAUCGCUGAAUAUUAUGUUCAUCAAGCCUGUUAUGGAAGUUUCUCAAUUGGUAUUUUUAAUUCUUGAAUUUGUUUAUUCUCUAAAUGUCUAUGUCCUUUGUUUCCUACCUAGAUGGAUUAUAAUUUUCUUAAAUUCAUGGGCUUUUUAGGCAAACUAAGAUCGCUAUUUUUAUUGCCAUUCUCUUCAGAUUAAACUUGGUGGGAAAGGUUUUGAAAUCUGGCAAAACCUUAGGUUUUAUUAUCUUUGAAUUCAUUAUUUUCUUUGACGUUAUUCUUCAUGCUAAAGUUGUGAGUGAGUGGGAGAUCUUGUAAAUAGGCACUAAAUGAGAGGCUUUGACAUUUGUGUUGUUGGACCGUCGGCUCUGUUGAUGUUGAUUUUGAUUGUUUUCUUGUACUCGUGUUGCACAGCUAAGAGGAUGUAUGUUGUAUCCUAGAGGCAAUAACUGUUGAGUAUUAAACUUAUUGCAAAGCUUUAUAUUUUAUUACGUUUCCAUUUACUAUUUUCUUAUGUACUCGAAUGUGAAUGACUAUUGUUUCUCUUAUUGGUCGUAGGAAGGUACAUGUGUCAGCCAUUGUGUUUGUCCAAGGUGGAGCAAUUCUUGAUUGCUGAAAUUAUGGUCGUUGAGCUUUUAUGGAAAUUUCUCAUUUGGUUUUUCAGAAUUUGUACUUACCCAAAUUCAUUAUAUAAUUCAUGGACUCCACAGGGAAACUACGAAAUGCAGUCAAUGCAUAGUGUGCAAAUGGUGGGUCGUGGCCAUGUUUUUAAUAGUGGAUGGAGAUUCGGUGAAACCUUAGGUUUUAUUAUCUUUGCAUUCUGUAUUUUCAUUAACGUUAUUCUUCAGGCCAAACUUGUGGAAUGGAUGAUCAAGCAAAUAGGCACUAUAUGAGUGAGAAACAUUAACAUUUGUGUUGUUGGGGGUUGUCUCUUUUCAUUUUCAUUAUCUUCUACUAGUGCUGCAGUGCAAAGGAUUUAUUAGUUGUAGGUUAUUGAACAUACUAAAAAGCUUUAUUGUGGAGGCAAUAGUUGUAGUUUCUCGUAUUGACUCUAGGAUGGUACAUGUGCCAGCUAUGUUGUUCGUUUACUCAAGAGCAAUACUUGAUCAUUGAACAUUAAGAUCAUUGAGCUCUACGUGUAUAUUUCUCCUUUGGUUUUUUAGUUAUUAAAUGUUUUUAUUCAUCUUAUCGCCUUGGUCCUUCAUCUUUUGCCCAGUUUGAUUAUAGUUUUUUUGAAUUCAUGGGCUCUGCUGGGAAACAAAGAAAUGAAGUGGGUGCAAGGUGUGCAAAUGGUGGGUGGUGGGCAGGUUUCAGAAACAGUGGAUGUAGAUCCGGUGAAACAUUAAGUUUUAUUUUCUUUGUAUUCAGUAUUUUCACUACCGUUAUUCUUCAAACUUGUGUGGAGGGUGAUCUUGUAAAAUAGGCAUUAUAUAAUUGUGAGGCUUUGAAAUUUGUGUUGUUG
Molecule: unclassified non-coding RNA, 5992 nt
Organism: Vigna unguiculata (cowpea)
Lineage: Eukaryota; Viridiplantae; Streptophyta; Magnoliopsida; Fabales; Fabaceae
Source: RefSeq, a predicted model, not a curated record